RNAcentral lists this ribosomal RNA (552 nucleotides) under uncultured archaeon. RNAcentral's name for it is "bacterial SSU rRNA". It matches the Rfam family "Archaeal small subunit ribosomal RNA", at positions 326 to 879 of the family's 1478-position model. The record is from RNAcentral.
CGGGGUGCCCAGGGCCAAACCUUUGCCAUGGCUGAAAACGUGACUGGGGAGAUCUCAAUGGCCGGGAGGCUUUCUUGCCUGUCUCUAUGCCUAUCAAGCCUUGUGUAACAAGGGCAUGUGGAUACCAGUGCCGCCCGCCGCGGUAACACCUGUGGCUCAAGUGGUGACCUCUAUUAUUGUGGCUAAUGGGUAUGUAGCCGGCCGGAUGAUUCUUUUGGUAAAUCCUCCUGCUCAUCAACUGGGCUUUCUGAGGAUAAUGCCGGGCUCCUUACCAGUAGAGGAAGUAGGUACUUCUCGGGUAGGGGUGAAAUCUUGUAAUCCUUGAAGGACCACCACUGGCGAAGGCGUCUUACCAAAACGGAUCUUACGACCAGGGACGAAAACUGCGGGCACAAACCGGAUUAUAUACCCCGGUAGUCCUACCCGUAAACGAUACUCCCUAGGUGUCGGCCACGGUGCCACCGUGGUCGGUGCCUUAUGGAAACCAUGAAUCAAGCCACCUGGGAAGUACGGCCGCACGGCUGAAACUUAAUGGAAUUGGCUGGGGAGCAC